RNAcentral lists this long non-coding RNA (3371 nucleotides) under Homo sapiens (human). Its description in RNAcentral is "HSALNT0132109". Lineage: Eukaryota; Metazoa; Chordata; Mammalia; Primates; Hominidae. The record is from RNAcentral.
UUGUUUUUUUUUUUUUUUUCAUAAACUCCUCAGUCUCCGGUGGUUCUUUAUUGCAGUGUGAGAAUGGACUAAUACUCUUAACAGGGACAUUUAUAAACAGGCCAUGUGAGGACACAGCACCCCAUUCCUGGGCUGUGUCAUCUUAGAGCAGGGUGGUCUCUCUGAAGACCGGGCUGUCUGCAGAGUGCGUGACAUCCAUCUGCACCCAUCUCCUUCCCAGGGACAGCCUUUGCUUCAGUUCUUCAUGUGGUCACCAAGGAGCAAAGCUCAGAGACAAAAGGCAUUCUGCCCAGACAGCCCCAGGCCUUAUCAUCCAUCUCCUGUUGGUUCUGAGGAGAAGAUGGGAACCAGGCUGGUUUUUCCCAGGGCAGGUUCGAUGUGUGAAUCCCCCACCGGGUGGUGAAAGCGACAAGCUCUCUGUCCCGUUUGCUUUCUAAACUGAAGUAAAUAACUCAGGUCCUUAAUUUUUCAUUUUUGUGGUUAAUCCUGUUUUCAGACAUAUCACAGACAUGGAUGAAAGGUCAUGUUUCUCAGACAUCAAGUUAAAAACCAAUAGUGACCACAGUCAUGAAAGAACAUUCAGCCUGAGACAAAAGGGGUUAACGCACAGGGAAGAUAACGACGGUGAGACCCGCCACCUGCAGUCCGGACUCUUAUGAUGCCCUGUCCGCUUACCCAGUAUCACUGCCGUCUCCCCAGUUUGCUGCCCUGAACUCAGAAACAGAAUUUUAACACUGGCCUAAAGGAUGGUGAGAAAUGAACUCCUGGUUGCCGACCAGACUUCCCCUUCUCAUCCCGACGACGCGGGACAUAGGGUAGACGGUCCCAAUGCCGAGGAGCAGUAGGAGGACCAGCACAGGAGCUUGCAAGCAAGAGCCCAGAGCAAGAGCCCCUCUCCCCUGGUGUCCAAGGAUGGUUCUGCUGACCCAAGGGAGGAACACAAGAAGGGAAGCUUGAGAUGCUACAAACAACAAAAUGGCACCCUGUGUGCAAAUCCUGGUGAGUGCACUUGUGGGUGCUGCAGCCACAGGCUCUGGAAGACACCCCUGCCUGGGCGAGCCAUCCAGUCCUUCUCUUGCUGUUGGGGCCUGGAUGCUCCAGCAGGGGCAUUGGGCUGGGGUGACUCUUCUUUGCUCUGACUUGAUGUGAGCCCAGUGGCUGCUUUGGAAGUGUCACCCUCAGGGGGUUUUGGUUGGCCUAAGAAUCAAUAUUUAUAGGGUGUCCUGCAUUGUGUGUUUUCUAUUUGUAAUUCUCAAGCAUGGCUCCCAUUUCACUUAGUAUCCAAAGGAGUAAGAAAUCCUCACGUUGGAUUCCAUGAACCUAGGAACCCCAGUGUCUUCUGAACAGCCUUUUCCUCUUUGUGUUCCCAGCACACAAACUGUUAGAAAGAUUUAUGUUAGAAUCCACCCAGCAUCUGCUACCCAGAGCCUAAUUUUGCCCUCCCUCUGAACUGAAUUUUUAAGUUUUAAGUCAAAUACUCGCUGAUGUUUGCGCUUCCCCACUUCAUGCAUAUUCUUCACCUGAGCCCCUGCACCUGGGGAGCAAACCCCUGUCCUGGAGGAAGCCUGAUGCGCCACCUCCAUUGUUAGAAAGCUCCCUCAGGCUGACGUAACCCUGUCCUGGACCUGGAGGAAGCCUGAUUCACCGCCUCGAUUUUUAGAAAACUCCUUCAGGCUGUCCUAACCCCAUCCUGGACAUGGAGGAAGCGUGAUUCGCCACCUCCAUUGUUAGAAAGCUCUCUCAGGCUGACAUCACCCUGUCCUGGUCCUGGAGGAAGCCUGAUUCGCAGCCUAGAUUGCUGGAAAGCUCUCUCAGGCUGGCGUCACCCUGUCCUGGAGGGAGCGUGAUUUGCCGCCUCCACUGUUAGAAAGCUCUCUCAGGCUGAGGUAACACUGUCCUGGUCCUGGAGGAAGCCUGAUUCACCGCCUCCAUUGUUAGAAAGCUCUCUCAGGCUGAGGUAAGAUUGGCUUCCCCGCCGCUUCUCCCUGGAGACCCUAGUUCUGCUCUUUGAAGCCAAGCAAGAUUACUCUUUAUAGGGCAGCUUUGCCUUUAUUUGUAGAUAGCUUUUACACAUAUUUGCUCCCAAAUCAACAAGGUUUUCCCCAGGUACCACCUGGACUAUUCUUCUGUCAGCAUUUCUCACGUGAUACUGAGUCAGGAGCCUUUACUGUCCUCACCCUCGUGUGGGUGGGAGCCUGGUUUCUCAUCACUCUGGUUAGACUGUGCCUAAUGUGGGGUGCUGCUUUUUAAGGACAAUCAGCUCUAAGUUGAGGCUCUGAUUCUUGCACGUGCUUCCAAGCACGUCUCUUCUUGCCAUCUCCAUUGCCACCCCAAAGUCACUCCCCUCGGACAGGGACGGCAGCAUCUCAGUCAUCACUCUGUACCCCAUUUGACCAGCUGGAGAGUCCUGUGUCUUCACACAACUGUGAGAAUGAUCAUUGGAAGCUAUGCAUUCCAUAAUAGCUUUAUGUUAAAUUCAUUUCUCAUCUUUCAUUGGCCCUUGGGAAGACGUCCAGAUCCCUUAACAUAGCUUACGAAACCCUCUCAAACUCAGGGCCCACCUUUCUCUCCAACUUCAUUCCCCCAGCCCCGACGUCAUCUGAGGUUCAAGUUCAGUAGCCCCUCUUGAUAGCUGAGCACAGGAAGCUCAGGGCCCUGCGUUUUGGGCAUUUGAAGGGUUCCGCUGGUCGUGGCUUUCCCCACCAUCUCCUCCGUUUCCACACGACUUGCUCCUGCAUACCUCAGCUUCAGUGCCGCUCCGAGAGGCCUUUCCUAAUGUCUGAACCAGGAGAGGCUUCCCACCACAAGCUCCUCUAUGGGAUUCUGGUUAAUUACCAGUGAAACGUCCACCUUUCCAGCCCGCCUGUAAGCUAGGCCAUAAUAGGGGCCGUAGCCCUCCUUACAGCCGCGUUCUUGUCACCUGCGCGGUGUCCAGCGCACACUCGCCUCCUACGUAUUUGCCUUGUGAGGGAUCAAUCGGUGUCGUAGAGCCGUUCAGAGCUAUUCCUCUAUUAAGUGAUUUGGAUACCAUGGUGACUAAGAAGCAUGCUGUGAUCGCUGGGGUUUAUGGAAAUAUUGUGUGCUCCUGAGCGUUCAAACAGGUGGAAUAUCAACUUUAUUAAGCCCAGGUGGUGGUGCAGUUUAAAUGCGAUUUCAUCUUUUCUUAUUUUAAUUUACGAAUUGCUCAGUUGAUCAUAUUAGAAAAGAGUACCCACAUUGUGCCUGCUGGAGCCAUAUCUUUGUAAAAAUUCUGAAAGCAAGGGGAAAUGUUGGAGUAAAAUUAUCACAUUUCCUAACAAUGUCUGUUUUGACUGGAAGCUCUAAUGCAUAAUUUUGUGUCAACCAGAAUAAAAGUAAUCUUUUUUUUUCCU